GGGGCUGAUUCUGGAUUCGACGGGAUUUGCGAAACCCAAGGUGCAUGCCGAGGGGCGGUUGGCCUCGUAAAAAGCCGCAAAAAAUAGUCGCAAACGACGAAAACUACGCUUUAGCAGCUUAAUAACCUGCUUAGAGCCCUCUCUCCCUAGCCUCCGCUCUUAGGACGGGGAUCAAGAGAGGUCAAACCCAAAAGAGAUCGCGUGGAAGCCCUGCCUGGGGUUGAAGCGUUAAAACUUAAUCAGGCUAGUUUGUUAGUGGCGUGUCCGUCCGCAGCUGGCAAGCGAAUGUAAAGACUGACUAAGCAUGUAGUACCGAGGAUGUAGGAAUUUCGGACGCGGGUUCAACUCCCGCCAGCUCCACCG
This 363-nucleotide transfer-messenger RNA is filed under the name Neisseriaceae. RNAcentral's name for it is "Snodgrassella alvi_D Standard tmRNA". It matches the Rfam family "transfer-messenger RNA". From Rfam's summary of the family: Bacterial tmRNA, also known as 10Sa RNA or SsrA, is named for its dual tRNA and mRNA-like properties. Its role is to liberate the mRNA from a stalled ribosome. To accomplish this part of the tmRNA is used as a reading frame that ends in a translation stop signal. Lineage: Bacteria; Pseudomonadati; Pseudomonadota; Betaproteobacteria; Neisseriales. RNAcentral also lists the same sequence under 1 other name. The record is from RNAcentral.